This 590-nucleotide ribosomal RNA is filed under the name uncultured Burkholderia sp. Its description in RNAcentral is "bacterial SSU rRNA". It matches the Rfam family "Bacterial small subunit ribosomal RNA", at positions 418 to 1003 of the family's 1533-position model. Lineage: Bacteria; Pseudomonadati; Pseudomonadota; Betaproteobacteria; Burkholderiales; Burkholderiaceae. The record is from RNAcentral.
UCGGGUUGUAAAGCACUUUUGUCCGGAAAGAAAACAUCCUGGCUAAUACCUGGGGUGGAUGACGGUACCGGAAGAAUAAGCACCGGCUAACUACGUGCCAGCAGCGCGGUAAUCGUAGGGUGCGAGCGUUAAUCGGAAUUACUGGGCGUAAAGCGUGCGCAGGCGGUUCGCUAAGACCGAUGUGAAAUCCCCGGGCUUAACCUGGGAACUGCAUUGGUGACUGGCGGGCUAGAGUAUGGCAGAGGGGGGUAGAAUUCCACGUGUAGCAGUGAAAUGCGUAGAGAUGUGGAGGAAUACCGAUGGCGAAGGCAGCCCCCUGGGCCAAUACUGACGCUCAUGCACGAAAGCGUGGGGAGCAAACAGGAUUAGAUACCCUGGUAGUCCACGCCCUAAACGAUGUCAACUAGUUGUUGGGGAUUCAUUUCCUUAGUAACGUAGCUAACGCGUGAAGUUGACCGCCUGGGGAGUACGGUCGCAAGAUUAAAACUCAAAGGAAUUGACGGGGACCCGCACAAGCGGUGGAUGAUGUGGAUUAAUUCGAUGCAACGCGAAAAACCUUACCUACCCUUGACAUGGACGGAAUCCUGGUG